This 129-nucleotide ribosomal RNA is filed under the name Campylobacter concisus. Its description in RNAcentral is "partial 16S ribosomal RNA". It matches the Rfam family "Bacterial small subunit ribosomal RNA", at positions 1 to 124 of the family's 1533-position model. The record is from RNAcentral. Lineage: Bacteria; Pseudomonadati; Campylobacterota; Epsilonproteobacteria; Campylobacterales; Campylobacteraceae.
UUAAUAUGGAGAGUUUGAUCCUGGCUCAGAGUGAACGCUGGCGGCGUGCCUAAUACAUGCAAGUCGAACGGACAAGUAAGAGCUUGCUCUUAUGAGUUAGUGGCGCACGGGUGAGUAAUGUAUAGCUAA